RNAcentral lists this ribosomal RNA (483 nucleotides) under uncultured bacterium. Its description in RNAcentral is "partial 16S ribosomal RNA". It matches the Rfam family "Bacterial small subunit ribosomal RNA", at positions 28 to 507 of the family's 1533-position model. The record is from RNAcentral.
GACGAACGCUGGCGGCGUGCUUAACACAUGCAAGUCGAACGCUGAAGCUCAGCUUUUGUUGGGUGGAUGAGUGGCGAACGGGUGAGUAACACGUGAGUAACCUGCCCCCUUCUUUGGGAUAACGCCCGGAAACGGGUGCUAAUACUGGAUAUUCACUGGUCUUCGCAUGGGGGUUGGUGGAAAGGGUUUUUCUGGUGGGGGAUGGGCUCGCGGCCUAUCAGCUUGUUGGUGGGGUGAUGGCCUACCAAGGCUUUGACGGGUAGCCGGCCUGAGGGGGUGACCGGUCACAUUGGGACUGGGAUACGGCCCAGACUCCUACGGGAGGCAGCAGUGGGGAAUAUUGCACAAUGGGCGCAAGCCUGAUGCAGCGACGCCGCGUGAGGGAUGGAGGCCUUCGGGUUGUGAACCUCUUUCGCUCAUGGUCAAGCCGCAACAAUGGUUGUGGUGAGGGUAGUGGGUAAAGAAGCGCCGGCUAACUACGUG